Molecule: ribosomal RNA, 254 nt
Filed under: uncultured bacterium
Lineage: Bacteria
Description: partial 16S ribosomal RNA
Rfam family: Bacterial small subunit ribosomal RNA
Source: RNAcentral
AGUCGCAAGCUCGCGAGAGUAAGCUAAUCUCUUAAAGCGUUCUCAGUUCGGACUGUAGGCUGCAACUCGCCUACACGAAGUCGGAAUCGCUAGUAAUCGCGGAUCAGCAUGCCGCGGUGAAUACGUUCCCGGCCUUGUACACACCGCCCGUCACACCAUGGGAGUUUGUAACGCCCGAAGUCAGUGACCUAACCGCAAGGGAGGAGCUGCCGAAGGUGGGGCCAGUAACUGGGGUGAAGUCGUAACAAGGUACC